Molecule: ribosomal RNA, 292 nt
Filed under: uncultured bacterium
Lineage: Bacteria
Description: partial 16S ribosomal RNA
Rfam family: Bacterial small subunit ribosomal RNA
Source: RNAcentral
GUGUCAGCAGCCGCGGUAAUACAGAGGGCUCGAGCGUUAAUCGGAAUCACUGGGCUUAAAGCGUGCGUAGGCGGAUGCAAAGGCACCUUGUGAAAUCCCUCGGCUCAACCGAGGAAUUGCUUGGUGAACCAUGCAUCUUGAGGCAGGUAGGGGUGGCUGGAACGAUAGGUGGAGCGGUGAAAUGCGUAGAUAUCUAUCGGAACGCCAAAGGAGAAGUCAGGCCACUGGGCCUGUCCUGACGCUGAGGCACGAAAGCGUGGGGAGCAAACGGGAUUAGAAACCCCCGUAGUCC